This 373-nucleotide ribosomal RNA is filed under the name uncultured bacterium. RNAcentral describes it as "bacterial SSU rRNA". It matches the Rfam family "Bacterial small subunit ribosomal RNA", at positions 525 to 896 of the family's 1533-position model. The record is from RNAcentral.
ACGUAGGGGGCAAGCGUUGUCCGGAAUCAUUGGGCGUAAAGCGCGUGUAGGCGGCUUGGUAAGUCUGGCGUGAAAUCUUGGGGCUCAACCCCAAGCCUGCGCUGGAUACUGCCUCGCUAGAGUCCGGGAGAGGAAAGCGGAAUUCCCAGUGUAGCGGUGAAAUGCGCAGAUAUUGGGAAGAACACCGGUGGCGAAGGCGGCUUUCUGGAACGGUACUGACGCUGAGACGCGAAAGCGUGGGGAGCAAACAGGAUUAGAUACCCUGGUAGUCCACGCCGUAAACGAUGGGCACUAGUUGUGGGCGGUGUCGACUCCGUCCGUGACGAAGCUAACGCAUUAAGUGCCCCGCCUGGGGAGUACGGCCGCAAGGCUA